GGGGACUUAGCUCAGUGGUAGAGCACUUGCCUAGCAAGCACAAGGCCCUGGGUUCAGUCCUCA
RNAcentral lists this transfer RNA (63 nucleotides) under Rattus norvegicus (Norway rat). It matches the Rfam family "tRNA". Rfam says of the family: Transfer RNA (tRNA) molecules are approximately 80 nucleotides in length. Their secondary structure includes four short double-helical elements and three loops (D, anti-codon, and T loops). RNAcentral also lists the same sequence under 2 other names. Lineage: Eukaryota; Metazoa; Chordata; Mammalia; Rodentia; Muridae. The record is from Rfam by way of RNAcentral.